GUGCACGCUUCAGCAGCACAUAUCCUAAAUUGGAAUGAUACAGAGAAGAUCAGCAUGGCCCCUGCGCAAGGAUGACAUGCAAAUUUGUGAGCAUUCCAUAUUUUU
Choloepus didactylus (southern two-toed sloth) is the source of this 105-nucleotide small nuclear RNA. The record is from RefSeq and is a predicted model, not a curated record. Lineage: Eukaryota; Metazoa; Chordata; Mammalia; Pilosa; Megalonychidae.